Molecule: ribosomal RNA, 875 nt
Filed under: Acinetobacter baumannii
Lineage: Bacteria; Pseudomonadati; Pseudomonadota; Gammaproteobacteria; Moraxellales; Moraxellaceae
Description: bacterial LSU rRNA
Rfam family: Bacterial large subunit ribosomal RNA
Source: RNAcentral
GUUGUAUAGUCAAGUAAUUAAGUGCAUGUGGUGGAUGCCUUGGCAGUCAGAGGCGAUGAAAGACGUGAUAGCCUGCGAAAAGCUCCGGGGAGGCGGCAAAUAUCCUUUGAUCCGGAGAUGUCUGAAUGGGGGAACCCACCUACUUUAAGGUAGGUAUUGCAACAUGAAUACAUAGUGUUGCAAGGCGAACGAGGGGAAGUGAAACAUCUCAGUACCCUUAGGAAAAGAAAUCAAUUGAGAUUCCCUCAGUAGCGGCGAGCGAACGGGGAUCAGCCCAUUAAGUUAUGUGUGUUUUAGUGGAACGCUCUGGGAAGUGCGAACGUAGAGGGUGAUAUUCCCGUACACGAAAGGGCACACAUAAUGAUGACGAGUAGGGCGAGGCACGUGAAACCUUGUCUGAAUAUGGGGGGACCAUCCUCCAAGGCUAAAUACUCCUGACUGACCGAUAGUGAACCAGUACCGUGAGGGAAAGGCGAAAAGAACCCCUGUGAGGGGAGUGAAAUAGAUCCUGAAACCGCAUGCAUACAAGCAGUGGGAGCACCUUCGUGGUGUGACUGCGUACCUUUUGUAUAAUGGGUCAGCGACUUAUAUUCAGUAGCGAGGUUAACCGUAUAGGGGAGCCGUAGAGAAAUCGAGUCUUAAUAGGGCGUUUAGUUGCUGGGUAUAGACCCGAAACCAGGCGAUCUAUCCAUGAGCAGGUUGAAGGUUGGGUAACACUAACUGGAGGACCGAACCCACUGUCGUUGAAAAGCCAGGGGAUGACUUGUGGAUAGGGGUGAAAGGCUAAUCAAGCCUGGUGAUAGCUGGUUCUCCCCGAAAGCUAUUUAGGUAGCGCCUCGGACGAAUACCAUAGGGGGUAGAGCACUGUUUCGGCU